RNAcentral lists this long non-coding RNA (305 nucleotides) under Equus caballus (horse). RNAcentral's name for it is "lncRNA (ENSECAG00000031075.3)". The record is from RNAcentral. Lineage: Eukaryota; Metazoa; Chordata; Mammalia; Perissodactyla; Equidae.
GUCGAGGGUGGUUCCUCCUUCCUCUCACAUUUCCUGGAGUAGAUGGAAUCUAAGUGCAGCUAAGAAAACUGAAAUUACAGCAUGCUUUUAGCUGUUCACCGAUGCGGUUUGUGCUUCACAGGUGAGAGCUGAGGAUUCCAAAGAGCGAAGUGGAUUCUGGCUGAGGCUGAGCCGGUAAUCAGCAUUGUUGGCUUUUUCUGAGUAGGUGCAGAGAGUGAAUGUACAUUCAGAAAUGCUUCGUGGUCCCUGUAUUCCAAGAAAAAAGAGGUUCUACAGGCUCAUGCUCCAACCUCCUUUUCCAGCAG